UACGUAGGUGGCAAGCGUUGUCCGGAAUUAUUGGGCGUAAAGCGCGCGCAGGCGGUCAUUUAAGUCUGAUGUGAAAGCCCACGGCUCAACCGUGGAGGGUCAUUGGAAACUGGGGGACUUGAGUGCAGGAGAGAAGAGUGGAAUUCCACGUGUAGCGGUGAAAUGCGUAGAGAUGUGGAGGAACACCAGUGGCGAAGGCGACUCUUUGGCCUGUAACUGACGCUGAGGCGCGAAAGCGUGGGGAGCAAACAGG
RNAcentral lists this ribosomal RNA (253 nucleotides) under uncultured bacterium. RNAcentral's name for it is "partial 16S ribosomal RNA". It matches the Rfam family "Bacterial small subunit ribosomal RNA", at positions 524 to 776 of the family's 1533-position model. The record is from RNAcentral.